UACAGAGGGCGCGAGCGUUGUCCGGAAUCACUGGGCGUAAAGGGCGCGUAGGCGGCCUGAUAAGUAGGGGGUGAAAUCCUGCGGCUUAACCGCAGGGCUGCCUUCUAAACUGUCAGGCUAGAGCACAGUAGAGGCAGGUGGAAUUCCCGGUGUAGCGGUGGAAUGCGUAGAGAUCGGGAAGAACAUCAGUGGCGAAGGCGGCCUGCUGGGCUGUUGCUGACGCUGAGGCGCGACAGCGUGGGGAGCAAACAGG
RNAcentral lists this ribosomal RNA (253 nucleotides) under uncultured bacterium. RNAcentral describes it as "partial 16S ribosomal RNA". It matches the Rfam family "Bacterial small subunit ribosomal RNA", at positions 524 to 776 of the family's 1533-position model. The record is from RNAcentral.